GGCCAUAGCUCAGUGGUAUAGCAUUUGCUUAGUAUGCAGAAGAUCUCAUGUUCAGUCCCUAGCAUCUCCA
Molecule: non-coding RNA, 70 nt
Organism: Podarcis lilfordi (Lilford's wall lizard)
Lineage: Eukaryota; Metazoa; Chordata; Lepidosauria; Squamata; Lacertidae
Source: the annotation of a GenBank genome assembly